AUUGAACGCUGGCGGCAUGCUUUACACAUGCAAGUCGAACGGUAACAGGCCUUCGGGUGCUGACGAGUGGCGAACGGGGGAGUAAUGCAUCGGAACGUACCCAGAGGUGGGGGAUAACGCAGCGAAAGCUGUGCUAAUACCGCAUGUGAUCUGAGGAUGAAAGCGGGGGACCGAGCAGCAAUGUUUGGCCUCGCGCCUUUGGAGCGGCCGAUGUCGGAUUAGCUAGUUGGGGGGGUAAAGGCCUACCAAGGCGACGAUCCGUAGCUGGUCUGAGAGGACGACCAGCCACACUGGGACUGAGACACGGCCCAGACUCCUACGGGAGGCAGCAGUGGGGAAUUUUGGACAAUGGGCGCAAGCCUGAUCCAGCAAUGCCGCGUGAGGGAAGAAGGCCUUCGGGUUGUAAACCGCUGUUGGCAGGGACGAAAAGGUGUCCGCUAAUACCGGGCGCUAAUGACGGUACCUGCAGAAUAAGCACCGGCUAACUACGUG
This 492-nucleotide ribosomal RNA is filed under the name uncultured bacterium. RNAcentral's name for it is "partial 16S ribosomal RNA". It matches the Rfam family "Bacterial small subunit ribosomal RNA", at positions 29 to 507 of the family's 1533-position model. The record is from RNAcentral.